GUAUUGCAACAAAGGCCUUGCGGCACAAUCACGUUCAAUAUUGUAAAGGCAGUGUAUAUAUGAGGAGAGGAAGGAAACCCCGAAGAAAAAUCACCAACAACAGAGGCAAUCAAACUCGGGGACCCCCCCUCCCGAAAUGUGCACAGGUGGCAGUUGGAUGAAGAUUGUUAGGGGGGGCGAGCACAUGAAACGGCUUCCAGCAUCAACCCCCCCAGCACAAUUCGAUAAUGAUCCUUCCGCAGGUUCACCUACGGAAA
RNAcentral lists this unclassified non-coding RNA (257 nucleotides) under uncultured fungus. Its description in RNAcentral is "sequence contains ITS1". Lineage: Eukaryota; Fungi. The record is from RNAcentral.